Molecule: ribosomal RNA, 253 nt
Filed under: uncultured bacterium
Lineage: Bacteria
Description: partial 16S ribosomal RNA
Rfam family: Bacterial small subunit ribosomal RNA
Source: RNAcentral
UACGAAGGGGGCUAGCGUUGCUCGGAAUCACCGGGCGUAAAGGGUGCGUAGGCGGGUCUUUAAGUCAGGGGUGAAAUCCUGGAGCUCAACUCCAGAACUGCCUUUGAUACUGAGGAUCUUGAGUUCGGGAGAGGUGAGUGGAACUGCGAGUGUAGAGGUGAAAUUCGUAGAUAUUCGCAAGAACACCAGUGGCGAAGGCGGCUCACUGGCCCGAUACUGACGCUGAGGUGCGAAAGCGUGGGGAGCAAACAGG